UAGGCUAGGGGAGGAGGAUUCUGUGUCAGAGAAGGGCAGGCACCUGGUGAGGGGUGGGAGCAGUACCCUGGUGCUUAAUAAAUGUGGGGAUUUUUAUGCUGGAACCCAAACCAGAAAGAUUUUCUGUGUCUUCCUCCAAAAAGUGGGGGAUAUCUAUCUUUCUGAGCUAGUAGAGCUCCUGGGAUGUGAGCUGUAGCCAGCACCACGAUUGCAAAUUGCACAAACUCCAAUCACAGACAGCUGGAACACUGCAGGUCUAACACUGAGAUGGCAGCAGACUGAGAGACUUCUCCUCAUGGAAGCAAAUCUUCCAAUCUCCUUCCAGAUGAUUUACCCAUGGGAAAAGCAGUCCCUUCAACUGGAAUAUCAGAGAACUUCCAGAGUCUUUCUCCCACGUAAAAGUGAUGACCAUCUCUUCAGAAAAACUUUGUGUUUCCUGGACUAUUUAACAGGAAAAUACUCCUUUUCUAAAGUCUGUGAAUUGAAGCUCUGUCCAACUUAUUGAUUUCUUCUGGGCAACUCUUUGGCACCAAACUGGAAGGGUCAUGCAGCUGGGAAUGUGCCAACGCUUCACACUUGCAUGUCCAUGAUGGCACCUCUCUGAUUGAACCUCCCUCCUUGCAUCACCUUUGGGGCUGCUUCAAACAAAGAUACUCCUGCCUUUGGUGAGGAAGAUGGAGUUUUAUAAUGGAGAAAUAGCCUGUUGAUAGUAGUUAAUCUCCUUGUUUAAAGAAAAAAAGAGCCAUUUCAUCUUCUAAUUUAAUGAUAAAUUGCAGUGAUUCAUCAGGGAAGGAGGGUUUAUUAAUAGAGAGGAUAAUAAAUGGGCUGCAGAGAAAUAUGAGAAAAUAGUUUUGUCAAAUAAGAGACUUAAGGAGAAAAAAUGCAGAGCUUGAAGUCAGAACUGGAAUCUUCAGAAUCAUUGGUACCUCUCUGUACCCCUCACAUCAAAUCAAGGACCUUCUCUCCUUGUGUCAGACUUGCUGCUUUAGGUUAAAUUCAGACUGUAAAUGAUCCAAGAACAGAAACACCUACAGACCUAUGACAUCUCUCCAGAUCCAGAACAGGCAUGAAAAUACUCCAGGAUUGUGCUCAGUUGAGGGGAACUGGAACUGUCUAUGAAUUUGGGUUGAACUUAAGGAAUUGUUUCUGACAAGGCUUCCAACUGCAAGAUGAAAAAUACAAAAUACUUUUUUUUAAUAGAAAAUUUUGGAAUUUCAGGGUCUGGUAUUCACUUUGCAGAGAUGGUGUAGGCAAAGCCACCCAUGCAGUUAUCUCCCUUCAGUACCAUGAAAUGGGAUUCUUAGGUUUGGGUUAAUAGUUACUGAACUUUGACGUCUGUGCCUGCAAAUGCUGUUUAAAUUUGCUGGGGACAAAAACUGGGAAUGAGAUUUUUCAAAAGCCACUGACAAAGUCCUUGUUGUUAGGCAAUGUUUGCUUAGGAGUGAAGAUUUUUUCCUCCAGAUAGAGGGGAAAGUAAAGCUGCAUUUCCCUUUUCUAGCAGGGCUUUUAUUGAACAAGGGACAGGCAGAAGCUGUUGAUCUUUUGAGAACAUCUACCCCUUCCUGUCCUUUGCUUCCCUCAGGGGAGACUGAGGUAGAAUAUAUUUCCUGUAGGGCACCUCAGAGGUUCCAUUUGGACACAUAAAUGAGAGGCUUUAAAGUGUUGUUUUGGUGAACCAAAAAACCCCUGACAUUUUGAUCAGAAUUUUGUGGAUUUUUCCCCAUUUGGGCCAGCAGUUAAACUGAUUCUCCAGCUCCCAGCUGCUUUCCAGGCCCCAGUGCUGGUUCUAACCAGGCUGGAACAGCCCAGCGUUGUGAAAUGGGUGAUCCUCCUGAUGCUCGUUAACAAACAGUUAUUAAUUGUGCUUGCUUUGUGCCUCCUUUGAAAGAGGAAAAAGGUUGGGAGGUGCAAUACUCAGCUUCUCUUUGCCUUGGAGAAGAGGAGAAUAUGGGUCAGGGAGAGGCAUCACCUGCAGUGGCAGGGGAGGGCUACCCGUGUGAGUGAUGCUAUUUAAGGAAACAGAAGGGGGGGGAGAGGGAAAAUCCCUCUAUUAACAAACUCAUUAGUGCUGGGACAAGGCAGACCAAAUUGCUCUUCAGAAAAGCACUGUCUAGCUGGAUUUAUUAUUCUCUGUAAUUAGGGCCAAAACAGGAUGGAGUGUGGUACAAGCAGGGGCUGAGAGAGGAAAUGUGGCCUGUUCAAAGCCAAUUAUUUGUAAUUACUCAAGUCAAGAUGUGACAUUUACACCAAGGAGAGAACAGGACCACAAUGGUGUUCCCUCACAUCAAGAGGCAGUGCUGUGCUUGCAGGCUGUCUGCAGACCAGAAACACUGUGAGGGAGAGGGUUUAAAGGGUUUCUGUGUGACAGAUGAGAGGUGGGGUGCCUGGACACAUUUGUGUGCUGAUAUUUAGGUUGCACCGGGGGAGGUGGGUAUUUGUCUUGGCUUGUAUGAACCCAGCAGCUCUGGGCACCUUUCACAGGCUGGCAGAGGUCAGAGCUGGGCAUCCUCUGAGAAAAAGAGCCUUGUGUGGAAGUGACCCCAAGCCUCAGCCGCAGUUGCUGUUGGAUCCCACAAGGCUUUCCAGGGAGCAUUUCCUCUGGAUUUUUGUUCUUGGUGCCCUGCAGUACCCGCCCUGGUGCUGAGCAGCAAAGAGAGGGGCAGAGCCUCUCAUGGCAGGGAACAGGAGCUCCAGCUUCAUCUGCCCCAGCAGAGCUGCCAGCAAAGCUGUCCUUUGCAGAAACUGCUGCAGAAGGCAGAAAACACGGAUUCCCCAGGGAAAUCUGCGCUUAGUGCCUGCCCGGGAGAGGCUCUGCAGGCACUAGUUGCAAAAGCUUUUGUCUCUGCGUCUUCAAACACAGCAGCCUGAGGGGUUUCUUUGAAAGAGGCUUUUUGGUGUGCUUCUUUCAAGUGGCAGGAGAUGUGUGCCUGAGCUGCAGGUGGUCAGCUCCAGUCGGAGCAGUGUGUUUGCAGGGGCUGGCAAUUCCAAACUCUCUGAGCAGAGAGGAAACAUCAGAGAGAUUUGAGGCUUCUCCGUGCCAGGAUGUGGCACGGACUUUGGAAAGAGCACAAACUCAAAAUGCUUUCAUCAAAAAUGUGUAAACGUCUCUGUGGAGAUUCACAGCUGGUUUUAAAGGUUAUUUUUUUUUAAAAUAUAAGUUAUUGAUCAGAAUAUAGUAAUAUUUAAGUCUUGAUUUUAGCAGUGUAUGCUUAAAAUGCAUUUAAAGCAAAUAUAAUAACCUAAUCUGCUGUUGUUCCCCACCUCCUUUGCCUCCCUCACUGUGCAAUUGUACUCUUCAUUUUGCAAAUCCAACUCACACUGUCCUGUGCAGGUUUCUAACCAUCCCAUCCAGGUUUACUUCCAACAAGUUUAGAUCUCCUGGGUCCCACGGCAGCCAUGAGCAGGACAGUUUGAAAACCCUGCCAGCUCUCUCUCAUCUGUCUGAAAUUGUCUUGAAAACCCCUGCAGAGCUCUGGUGCUUUCAGUUCCUUGGCUGAUCCUAGAAAGGUUGUUCUGAGCCAGAAAAGGUCCAGCUAUGAAAUGCUGUCUCCAACAGUACCAGAAGUGGGUGCUCGUGGGAGAGUUGGAAGAACAAGGCAAGGGUUUCCAGCAGUUUGCAGCUCAGCAGCUGCUUAAACCACACUUAAUAUCUUUGUCUUGAUGGAUGUUUUCUCCCCUGAACUUCUCCAACUGCUUUCUGAAUCCUGGUAAGUAUUUGGCAUCCUGAACCUCCUGUGGCAAGCAGUUCCAUGGCUUAGCAAAGUGCUGUGUGAAGCUUCUCUUCUGGUCUGUUUGAACCUGCCACUUGCUACUCCACUUGAUGUCACUGUGAGAGUUGUGAGAGACAGUGAACAAUUCCCCUUUUUACAUUGCUAAAAUGGUAAAUGUCACGCUCCUGCUCAGCUCUCUCUCUUUUCUGCUCUGCUCAGUGCUUGGCUGCUCAGGUGUUUCACAGAAUGGCUUGGGUUGGAAGGGACCUUAGGGAUCAGCCAGUUCCAACCCCCUGCCACAGGCAGGAAUGCCACCCACAAGAUGAGAUUGCCCUGCUGGAGUGUUUGGAGGGGAGAGGGAUAACUCCUCACACUGAUCUGCAUAGUGGGAAAGGAAUGUCUCAGUUCAGCAGGAUGGAGAGCUCUCUCCUGACCCAUUAAAGCUCAGCUUCCUGGGAAGUGCCAGACACUCAUUCCAUCACUGAUGACUGGAAGAGACCAAAGUUCUUGUGCUGCUGUCUCUGGCACUGUGACCUCAUUUGACACCAUCACUAGAGCUUUGUGAUCUUUUAUGUACCACAGAAAUAUCCAAAAGAUGACUCAAUUAGCUCUGUG
Passer domesticus (house sparrow) is the source of this 4325-nucleotide long non-coding RNA. RefSeq lists it as uncharacterized. The record is from RefSeq and is a predicted model, not a curated record. Lineage: Eukaryota; Metazoa; Chordata; Aves; Passeriformes; Passeridae. The transcript is spliced from 6 exons.